This 441-nucleotide long non-coding RNA is filed under the name Papio anubis (olive baboon). Its description in RNAcentral is "lncRNA (ENSPANG00000049836.1)". Lineage: Eukaryota; Metazoa; Chordata; Mammalia; Primates; Cercopithecidae. The record is from RNAcentral.
AUGGAGGGAGAUUGUGGCAUGGAGCCAGGAAACAGAAAAGGCAUGAAAAGAAGAACUAAUUUGGAGCUGGCGGGAUCGGUGAUAAUGAAACCUACCUUGCUGUUUCACGUUGAGGAAUCACUGCGGGAAGGUUGGACUCCCCAGAAGCAGACCCUGAGUGAUUCACUUAAGGAAUAUUGCCAGGAAAAACUGGUGAGAAGUGGGCCCCAGAAGAAAAGGAGGACGCCGGGACAAGGUGCAACACUGAGCAAAGCCUCAGGAAAGGAAAUGCUGAGAUGUGACUUACCGUCUUUCCAAAUCUUCCUGUGUACUGUCCCUGCUAUCCUGGCCAGGGACCACGGAAGCUGGAGUAUUUACACCUCCCUCUCACCUGUCAUUCACCAGUUAAAGACUGUCAUUUCUAGAAGGAAGUCAAUCUUCAUUAUUGUACUAUCAAAAUAG